Molecule: long non-coding RNA, 2658 nt
Filed under: Homo sapiens (human)
Lineage: Eukaryota; Metazoa; Chordata; Mammalia; Primates; Hominidae
Description: HSALNT0339031
Source: RNAcentral
CUCUUCUCUGCUGCCGUCUGAGGUGCGCGUUUCACCUUCCGCCGUGAUUGUGAGGCCUCCCCAGCCACGUGGAACUGUGAGUCCAUUAAACCUCUUUCUUUUGUAAAUUGCCCCGUCUGAGGUAUGUCUUUAUGAGCAGCGUGAAAAUGGACUGACACGCAGACUCUCUGCAGAGUCCCGAGACGGCACGGAGGAUCACACGGGGAGGGGUCGAGUGUGCUAACUCAGGUCUCUCUUCCUCUUCUAAUAAAUCCACCCGUCCCGCUCCUGCGCUAACCCAUUAAUCCAUUAAUCUGUGAAUGGAUUCAUCUAUUCACGAGGGCACUGCCCUCCUGACCCGAUCACCUCUUAAAGGCCAACUCUCAAUCCUGCCACACUGGGAAUUAAGUUUCAACAUGAGUUUCGGAGGAGAUAAACAUUCAAAUCAUAGCCGAAAUCCAAAGAGAUUUGAGGAGCAGAAGUUGAUUCAAAGGUUAGCAAAGGCCCAUAUUGAUUGUUUCAGAGAAUAAUCAAUCAGAAAGUUAAGCAACGCAUCGCCAGAGCUGUGAGGAACAGACGAAGAAUUUCAAAAAGGCUUUAGGAUGAUAAAGACGCCUGGGCAGCUUUCUAAUGCUGUAUGCAAUGCCGUCCUGCAAACGUGUGUAAGUCAAACACACAAAAGGCAAAACAGCCACUUUCUUUUUUUUCUCUCUCUCUCUUUUUUGAGACAGGGUUUCACCCUUGUGACCCAGGCUGGAGUGCAAUGGCACGAUCUCAGCUCACUGCAACUUGCAACCUCCGCCUCCCGGGUUCAAGCAAGUCUCCUGUCUCAGCCUCCCGAGUAGCUGGGAUUACAGGCACCCGCCACCACGCCAGGCUAAUUUUUGUAUUUUUAGUAGAGACGGGGUUUCACCAUGUUGGCCAGGCUGGUCUCGAACUCCUGACCUCAGGUGAUCCACCCACCUCGGCCUCCCAAAGUGCUGGGAUUACAGGCGUGAGCCACCGCACCCAGCCAAAUCAGCCACUUUCUGUCAUCACCGGGGUUCUGCUCCUAGGGGGCCCAACAGCACCACAAAAGCUCCAAUUAAAGGGGAAAGCCCUUUAGCGACCGUUGUAAGGACAGGUCCCACCCAUUUGCACAUGUUCAUUUUUUUUUCCUUCCCAGUUGGAUCUGCCUGCCGUCAAGACUCACCACUUCCCACCUGUACACUGCUGUCUGUCCUCAUUUCAAGUGAAUCACCUUGCGGUCUUCUUAUGCCAGCAGGUUCAGAGCUCAUGCCAGACGCUGUGGAAGGAUUGUUUUUUGACUCUCUAAUACUGUGGAAGAAAAAGAGAUCUUCCAGAUAUCAGAGUUCUCCUGACAGCUGAAGAAGUGAUGGAUGAGCUGGGGUCUCAAUUCAUCAGAACAUCAAGCAGGAAGAGCAGCCCUCCAACCCCCCACCAGUUCAGAAAUGGAGACAUCGAGGAGUCCUGAGCACAGGCAGGAGAGACUAUGAAGUUAUCGUAGACUCGAUGUCCACAAGUGCCGAGCUACAGCUCAGACCAGGAGCCCCGGAGAACAACAGGCCAGUUCAGAAGAUUACAGCAGGACUGAUGGCGUGAAGUCGGGGAGAAGCUGCUGCGGGUUUUCUGUUCAAUUCCCAUCCUGCACUGCCAUCUCCAGGACACAGGAGUCCUCGCCAGGAUGAUCAAAGCGGCAGCCAACUCAGCGGGAAAACGUGCAACAUCACCCUCGUGACCAGGGCUUUUGAUCCGGGAAGGUCGGAGCAGAUUGGGAACAUUUGCUCAUCAUUCCUCUCCCUUUGCUGUGCAGCGGUGAGAAAAUGGGGAAAGGCAGUUGUUCAAAGAACAUCUCCUACGCUAUUAGCUGGUGAGACCAGAGGACCAAGACAGGGAGUGCCCCGGCCCAGCGCUCACACCCCAUGGCAAUGUUCCUAGCCGGCUACAGGGAUCUUGCACAAUACGGAUUCCAAGGCAGUAGCCUGGGGUGGGGCCUGAGAGCAGGCACUUCUAGCAAAUCCCAGAUGCAGCUCAUGGUGCAGGUCUGAGCCAUGGUCAAUCCGUGAGGGGCAAAAUGUGGUGCGAGGGCCAGCAGCAGCAGCGCCUGGAUGAUUUUUUUUUUUUCUUUUUGAGACAGAGUCUCACUCACUCUGUCACCCAGGCUGGAGUGCGGUGUCGCGAUCUCUGCUCACUGCAACCUCAGCCUCCCGGGUUCAAGCGAUUCUCCUGCCUCAGCCUCCCGAGUAGCUGGGAUUACAGGUGCCCGCCCACCACCAUGCCCAGCUAAUUUUGUAUUUUUAGUAGAGAGGGGGUUUCAGCAUGCUGGUCAGGCUGGUCUCCAACUCCUGACCUCUGGUGAUCCGCCUGCCUUGACAAAUGUAUCUAAGUGUCCUUUGGCGUGCAGAUUAUUUUGUCACCACGAGGACACUUUAAAGAUACAUUGGUGGUGCAACGUUCCUGGAGCUGGUAGGAAGACAUUCAUUUCUUUCUUUAUUUGAGUCACGGACACCAGACCCCUGUGACAUGCAAUUUACCUGCAUAAUAAACCUGCACAUGUACCCUUGAACCUAAAAUAGAAGUUUUAAAAAGCAUAAAAAAUAAUAAUAAUAAAAUAUAUUUUUCGACUGUGUAAAAAAAAAAAGUGUCUUUUUGUGGGGGGAAGGUGGCAGGACAGGGUCU